This is a long non-coding RNA of Aplysia californica (California sea hare), 963 nucleotides long. RefSeq lists it as uncharacterized. The record is from RefSeq and is a predicted model, not a curated record. The transcript is spliced from 5 exons. NCBI's taxonomy places the organism in Eukaryota, Metazoa, Mollusca, Gastropoda, Aplysiida, Aplysiidae.
UUAUUAUUCGCUUUUCUUCUUUUCAAUUUAUAUUUUCGUAAUUGAAAUUAUUUCAACCUCCAAGCGCUAUAGCUUCAUGAAUUUAAGGGGAACGUCGCCGUCUAGACGAAAUUACAAAUUGUAUAGAUCUAGAUCUAUAUCUAGAUCUAGUCUAAUUCUUUGGUUUCGAAGUAGAUCUAGGCUUAACCAACCCAUUUUCAAAGUUCGAUGACGCGCUGCCAUUUAAAUCCAUUGUUGAUGUUGACAGUUUGCUAUAAGCUGAGUCCACAUUCUGGUAUGACUGUACUAAAGACUGUCUUAGGGAAGAAUCCGAUCUGGAAUAUGCCAAACAUCAUUAGAUCUAAAAUCUAGAUGAUUUACACAUCAAAGGAAGAAGCUUCGACGUUCAAUGCCGGCUGUUUCCAUCUGUACUUUCUACCUGUGCUGAAAGUGGCUUGAAAGAGCACCAAAACUGGUCCCUCACACCGGUGGAGCAACUGGCUGUUGCUAUGGAGAGAAGCUUUCUAAAAUUCCUGCUUGCCCAGCCACUGGAGGUGAGGGUGAUUCUGAAAACUUGCACAACAGGCGUGCAGUGUUCCCUCCCGUAUGUGAGAGACAAUCCCUGUGGUCUAAGGCCGGUCAAGCCAGUGCCAAUAUGGAGUCAGUAUCUCACUGACCGCUCCCCUACCUGUGUGUGGGAAGAAAACUGUGGCAGAUGUCUUUAGAGAAAGUCAGAACCUGACAGAAAUGUUCAACUAUCUGUCCGGAGAACAUUCACGACGCUACCAUGUUGAAGGGGACAUCAGCGCUGCUUACUCAGAGAUGGUCAUCAACAGGAUCUGUUGGUAGAUUUGACUUGGCAAAAGAUGAAGCAGAUAAAGAGAUGUGGAUAACUGAGUGGAUCUGUGUGGAUCAGAAAAAAACCCUCUUGUCUAGCUCAUCCUGAAUAUUCCCCACUGUUUUUUAGCUCAUCUCCAGUAUUUU